This is a non-coding RNA of Phrynosoma platyrhinos (Desert horned lizard), 71 nucleotides long. Lineage: Eukaryota; Metazoa; Chordata; Lepidosauria; Squamata; Phrynosomatidae. The record is from the annotation of a GenBank genome assembly.
GUCAGUGUGGUGUAGUGUUUUGAGGUUGGAUUAUGACUCUGGAGACCAGAGUUCGAAUCCCUGCCUAGCCA